This is a long non-coding RNA of Lycium ferocissimum, 1067 nucleotides long. RefSeq lists it as uncharacterized. The transcript has 4 exons. The record is from RefSeq and is a predicted model, not a curated record. NCBI's taxonomy places the organism in Eukaryota, Viridiplantae, Streptophyta, Magnoliopsida, Solanales, Solanaceae.
AUUCAUAUUUCUUUUGUGGCUAAAUUGUAAGCGUCCGUUGGCCUAAAAAUAAACACGUCCCACCAUCCUACUCUUUUACCACAGUGGUUCCCUUCCUCACUUCCAUUCACCAUCUUCUCUCCUUUCAGAAUUAAUUUAUUUUGUGGAUUUCUGCAAAAGUUGUUCCCUUCGUCUAAUUUGUCUGGUUUGAGCUCCCAGUUGUCAUGGUAAGGAAGGCUUCCUUGCAAGUGAGAAAUAAUACCAAGACUCCCCAAUGAAGAUUAUGUGGAAAAGGGGUUUUACUCGGUUCGUUCUUGUGGCUGCAAUUAUUUGGGAUUGAAGAUGUGACAUUAUUUUCUUUGAGAAAUCCUUCUGAGGUUCCUUCAUGUUCGAGUAUUUGUACAACUUCCUGGUAGAUGCUUCACAUUCUUAGUAUUGACAAAUUUUAAUAUGUUCAAUCUUUCCCAUUUUAAAGAGCGUCCUAUCGGAAGGUUUUUAAGUUGUUUGCCUGCAAUCAUUGAAGAAAUCUACUGCAAGUUAGAGGGACAUCCUAUGCUGCAGCGAAAGAAAUUGUUUGCAAAUAAUAUCUGGAUCUGUGUCAAAUCUCCUGAAGGUGGGUCACAAGUUGCACGCAAAUGGAUUGGCAUACUCCGUAAUACUUUUGGCUGACUCGGAAAACUCUCUGAGGUCCAUCAUUUUCGUUUGGUUUUCACGGGCAUUCUUUUGUAGGUGCCGCAUUACUUGGCUUAUGUGAUCUGCAUAAUGAGACUAUUAUUUGGAGGAAAAAGAAAGACGAAAAAAGGUUUAUUUACAUGUAGUUUCCUCUGUUACUCCAUUAUAUAAUCAACUUGGGAUUUGGCGUGGCUAUUUUCUAAGUAGGUGACUACUUGCUCUUAGCUGAGUUGUUUUCUUCUCAGAUAAUUAUUGUAAUUGCAUCUCAUGGGGUGUCCCUUGCCAUGUUUUGCAUUUAGUUGGGUAAUAGCAUUAGGAAGCCAAUCAGAAUCCAAAUAACUGGUGGUGCUUGUGAGCCGUAUUUUUCUUUGAUCAACUCUGAUUUUCACUUUUCGAAUUUACUUAAAUUCCUAUCA